This 432-nucleotide long non-coding RNA is filed under the name Equus caballus (horse). RNAcentral describes it as "lncRNA (ENSECAG00000044169.1)". The record is from RNAcentral. Lineage: Eukaryota; Metazoa; Chordata; Mammalia; Perissodactyla; Equidae.
CAUGUACCCACCUGCAAGUUCAUCUAUUCAUGGAGCUCUGUAACAAUCAAUAAGAGAGUAAAGAUGACGCAUCUCAUUAUCAUUUUCCAAACAGAAGAUUUCAUUCUACUUGGACAGGCUUUUGAGCUCUGUUUAUAUUCUAGGGAACAAAGAACUUUAUGAUGUCAUGCCAUACUCCAAGAUCCUUCGUUACCUUGCCACUCCUAACCUUUGAAUUCAGAAAGAGAAUUUUUUCCAGUAUUCUGUGAGAUUGCUGCUUUCACAAAGGGAUGGGAAGACUUGACAUUAAUUUAGAGUGUUCUAACAGGACUCUAUGACAACAGCAAAUAGACGAUGGUGCUUCUAGGGGCAAGAUGGAUGGAAAGCCAACUAGAUGGAUAAACAUGCAACUAGGAUAUUGUGGCCCUUGUUUAAUAAUAGCAAUAAAAGGAG